GGGGCUUAAGUCGUAACAAGGUAGCCGUAGGGGAAUCUGCGGCUGGAUCACCUCCUAC
RNAcentral lists this ribosomal RNA (58 nucleotides) under haloarchaeon 3A1-DGR. RNAcentral's name for it is "partial 16S ribosomal RNA". It matches the Rfam family "Bacterial small subunit ribosomal RNA", at positions 1476 to 1533 of the family's 1533-position model. The record is from RNAcentral. Lineage: Archaea; Methanobacteriati; Methanobacteriota; Halobacteria; Halobacteriales.